UAUACUUUCACUGCUGCAGCAGAGAAAUGCAUCUUCAGCAGCCGGAGGGAACCUCAGCAAGGGUCGCAGUUAUUUAUACUUUAUGUUUUUUAUUUCUUCCAUCAUACAUAAAUGCACCUUCCUUCUGCUUUCUUCCACAGCAAAGCCCCACACAUGAAGCAAAGUUUGCAUCCCAGGGCUGCUAUACAAAGGCACACCUGUACCCGGGCUAGACAGAGAAUAUUACUUCCAGCGGCGAUAAUGCAAAGCCAUCUUUGUUAUUUGGAAGUGGCUUUAAUAAGGAAUGCCAUUGGUCAUCGCUUAAUGGCGGGAACAGAAGGAUUUGUGUAAAAAGACCAACCCCAAAACAGGCUGAACCUGCAAUACACAGAUUAACGUCUUGUCUACUAUCCUGUUGUCUGUAGGAUAUAGGAAGGAUGGGGUUAGGUGCUGAAGACCUAUUCAAUGAGGUUUGUACAGGGCAAGCUCCCAGCAGCACAAAGCUGUGGCACAGGUGCUAUUCAGGUAAGCACUAUACUGUGCUACACACAGGUAAUCACACACGGAUCCAUCAGUGAUACCAUGUGCCACAACUAGCAUAUCAUCCACAGGUAUAAAGACAAUCCCAAGUCUUCAGUAAAAAAAAUCACAACUCUAUUCCUCUUUAAUAGUCUUUUUUUAAUUUGCUCAUUUGAAUACAAAAGCAUACAUGGACAAAGAAAACAAAUGAGAUCCAGCUAGCCGCAGAGAAGAGGGACACGGUGACCCCUUGGCCCGAGAAGUCAAAGCACGUGCACCAGGGUACUUGCUCCCUGGCAUCCUGCCGUCAGGGGCAUCAGUGCGUGUCCGGCCGCAGCAGACGGCAGGCAGUUUUACCAGGCCACGGCUUCCCCAGGUCACUCUAUUUCAACUCCAGUACACAGGCCAUAGCAGGGACCACACCGGACCGAGUUCCGGUUCAUGAGAAGGGGGGAGAGCAAGAUCACACUUUCUCAUGAUAAGGACUGUUCCAUUUCAAGACACGCCUUCCAUUUCAAUGCACAGUGUAGGCCAAAAUAAAAAGAAAUGAGCCUUUCUGGGUA
Long non-coding RNA from Lepisosteus oculatus (spotted gar), 1061 nucleotides. RefSeq lists it as uncharacterized. NCBI's taxonomy places the organism in Eukaryota, Metazoa, Chordata, Actinopteri, Semionotiformes, Lepisosteidae. The record is from RefSeq and is a predicted model, not a curated record.